Long non-coding RNA from Betta splendens (Siamese fighting fish), 451 nucleotides. RefSeq lists it as uncharacterized. The transcript has 2 exons. The record is from RefSeq and is a predicted model, not a curated record. NCBI's taxonomy places the organism in Eukaryota, Metazoa, Chordata, Actinopteri, Anabantiformes, Osphronemidae.
UCCAUCAGGUUUCUCCAGCAACGACACAGGUGAGUCAAUGAUGAUAGAACUAAUAUGUCUGAAGUGAUUUGCUUUAAGCUGCAGAAGAAGAGGGUUUUUACCAGCAGACACUAGAUCAUUAGUGUGCAGAUUGUUUGUGCUGUUCCUGCUUAUGUUAAUCUUACCGUGAUCUUGUUGUUCAAGCAGACUGUGACACUUCUUCUGAAGACACAGAUAACAACCUGCUUCUGACCACAGACCUGCCCAGAAUCUGAACCGCUGCCUCUCUGUCAGUACCAUAACUCAGAGUCAGACCCAGAAGUCUAUGGGGUGCCAAAUGUAAAAGUAGCACCUAUAACUAGUUUUCUCACAUUUAACUAAAUGACACAUGUUUUCUCACAUUUAGUUAAAUGUGCAAAAGUCUAAAUGUAAAUGUUAAAUAUAAAUGUAAAUGUUAAAUCUAAAUGUUAAA